GUGAACGCUGGCGGCGUGCCUAACACAUGCAAGUCGAACGAUGAUAGAGGGCUUGCUCUCUUGAUUAGUGGCGCACGGGUGAGUAUAACAUAGAUAAUGUACCUCUUAGUUCGGGAUAGACACUGGAAACGGUGAUUAAUACCGGAUACUCCUUCUUACUCUAAGGUAAGUCGGGAACGUUUUUUCGCUAAGAGAUCAGUCUAUGUCCUAUCAGCUAGUUGGUGAGGUAAUGGCUCACCAAGGCUAUGACGGGUAUCUGGUUUGAGAGGAUGAUCAGACACACUUGAACUAGGACACGGUCCAGACUCCUACGGGAGGCAGCAGUGAGGAAUAGUGCACAAUGGAGGAAACUCUGAUGCAGCAACGCCGCGUGGAGGAUGACGCAUUUCGGUGUGUAAACUCCUUUUAAGAGGGAAGAUAAUGACGGUACCUCUUGAAUAAGCACCGGCUAACUCCGU
Molecule: ribosomal RNA, 458 nt
Filed under: uncultured bacterium
Lineage: Bacteria
Description: bacterial SSU rRNA
Rfam family: Bacterial small subunit ribosomal RNA
Source: RNAcentral